RNAcentral lists this ribosomal RNA (253 nucleotides) under uncultured bacterium. Its description in RNAcentral is "partial 16S ribosomal RNA". It matches the Rfam family "Bacterial small subunit ribosomal RNA", at positions 524 to 776 of the family's 1533-position model. The record is from RNAcentral.
UACGAAGGGUGCAAGCGUUACUCAGAAUUACUGGGCGUAAAGCGUGCGUAGGUGGUUCGUUAAGUCUGAUGUGAAAGCCCUGGGCUCAACCUGGGAAUGGCAUUGGAUACUGGCGGACUGGAGUGCGGUAGAGGAUGGCGGAAUUCCCGGUGUAGCAGUGAAAUGCGUAGAGAUCGGGAGGAACAUCUGUGGCGAAGGCGGCCAUCUGGACCAGCACUGACACUGAGGCACGAAAGCGUGGGGAGCAAACAGG